This 253-nucleotide ribosomal RNA is filed under the name uncultured bacterium. Its description in RNAcentral is "partial 16S ribosomal RNA". It matches the Rfam family "Bacterial small subunit ribosomal RNA", at positions 524 to 776 of the family's 1533-position model. The record is from RNAcentral.
UACGUAGGGUGCGAGCGUUGUCCGGAAUUAUUGGGCGUAAAGAGCUUGUAGGCGGUUUGUCGCGUCUGCUGUGAAAAUCCGGGGCUUAACCCCGGACCUGCAGUGGGUACGGGCAGACUAGAGUGUGGUAGGGGAGACUGGAAUUCCUGGUGUAGCGGUGAAAUGCGCAGAUAUCAGGAGGAACACCGAUGGCGAAGGCAGCACUCUGGGCCGGCACUGACGCUGAGGAGCGAAAGCGUGGGGAGCGAACAGG